Non-coding RNA from Penaeus vannamei (Pacific white shrimp), 1322 nucleotides. The record is from RefSeq and is a predicted model, not a curated record. NCBI's taxonomy places the organism in Eukaryota, Metazoa, Arthropoda, Malacostraca, Decapoda, Penaeidae.
UGUACGUGUGUGCGUGUGUGUGUAAAGAGAGAGAGAGAAUGUGUGUAAUCACAGCAGUUGUAUUUUUCAACACCUAUUUAAACUUAAAAUCAAAGCUUGAUCUCCAAGUGUGACCUCAGAGUGACCGUUUCAAAGUGUGACAUCUUGUUCUCUUCACAUCUGACCCCAUCUCUAAGACUUGACUACUUCCAAGUAUGAGCUGAGCAUCCAUGAGUUAACCAUUGCUCCUUCAAAACGUCAGGCAGCGCACGUUCUUUCAAGGCUGACCUCCGCCUCCAAGAAUGAAGUAUGACUCAGUACUCCUCCAAGACGCAAAGCAAGCAAGACCUUCAAGUGUUAGUCCGGAGUCAAAGCACUUCAAGUUUUGCCCAAGUGCGACUAAGUGCUUGUCCAAAGCGCCGAACGACCAACGACUUCAAGGGUUAAUGCGAUGCGGCCAUCUCAAGUGUGACUUCAAUUCCGAGGAUGAGGAGAGACUUCAUACGAGUAUUAUGAAUCGACUCUGGGACGUCACACUUGAGCACCAGAUGACACGCUCGGCCUCGGAGGCAGACUUUGAAGCGCCACUGGCCGGCACGAAGGAAAGUUUCGAACCGCUUGAAGCUCUGAACGUUGGAUGCUAUUUGUUAUUAUCUUUUAUAAUCAUUGCUAUUAUCCUCAUUAUAAUUGUUAUUAUUAUCAUUAUAAUUGUUAUUAUUAUGAUUAUUAUCAUUGUUAUUAUUAUUAUUAUUAUUAUUAUUAACGUUAUUUUUAUUAUUAUUAUCAUUAUCAUAAUUAUUGCUAUCAUUACCAGUAUUAUUAUUAUUGUCAUUAUCACUAUUAUUAUUAUUAUUAUCACUCAUGCACAAUUUGUUAGAAUGAGAAGAAAAGUUCCUUACUGGAUCGUCACACUUCUGUCCACGUCAUCCUGAAGGCAGCCACGUCAUAACACUGUCAUCUUGGGUCAAAGUCCAGUGUGAAAAAGGUCAAUUACACACUUGAAAUGUCAUGAUGAGACGUCACACUUUUAGGUCAUACUUCGAUGUCACUUUACGAAUGUUAUGUUGAUGUUUCGUAUUAUCUGAAAUGCCGUUACUUUCAUUGGAAUCUUUGUUGAUUUCUAUAUUUUUAUUGAGUAUAUUUUUACCUAUCAGUAUCUGUGUGUCCUACUUUUUUUCUUUUUUUUUCUUUUUUGGUUUGUAUGAGGUUUUACACUUUUGUAAAAUUCUAGCGAUGCCAUAUUAAGCUAUAUUAUAUCACCAUCUUGAUUUAAAACCAUCUGUUCAUUUCGAAUUUUAUAUGUACGCUAUUUUGUCGAAAAUAAAAGAUGUACAUUUGGUAAA